RNAcentral lists this ribosomal RNA (444 nucleotides) under uncultured bacterium. Its description in RNAcentral is "partial 16S ribosomal RNA". It matches the Rfam family "Bacterial small subunit ribosomal RNA", at positions 354 to 796 of the family's 1533-position model. The record is from RNAcentral.
GUGAGGAAUAUUGCGCAAUGGAGGCAACUCUGACGCAGCCAUGCCGCGUGCAGGAAGAAGGCGCUACGCGUUGUAAACUGCUUUUAACCGGGAAGAAACCCCAGGACGUGUCCUGGGUUGACGGUACCGGAGGAAUAAGCACCGGCUAACUUCGUGCCAGCAGCCGCGGUAAUACGAAGGGUGCAAGCGUUAUCCGGAUUCAUUGGGUUUAAAGGGUGCGUAGGCGGAGCGUUAAGUCAGUGGUGAAAUCCUGCAGCUUAACUGUAGACUUGCCAUUGAUACUGGCGCUCUUGAGUGCGCUUGAAGUGGGCGGAAUGUGCCGUGUAGCGGUGAAAUGCUUAGAUAUGGCACAGAACACCAAUUGCGAAGGCAGCUCACUAAGGCGAUACUGACGCUGAGGCACGAAAGCGUGGGGAUCGAACAGGAUUAGAAACCUUGUAGUCC